UAGGGAAUUUUCCACAAUGGGGGCAACCCUGAUGGAGCAACACCGCGUGCAGGAUGAAGGCCUUCGGGUCGUAAACUGCUUUUGUCUGUGAAGAAUAUGACGGUAACGGACGAAUAAGGGUCUGCUAACUACGUGCCAGCAGCCGCGGUCAUACGUAGGACCCAAGCGUUAUCCGGAAUUACUGGGCGUAAAGAGUUGCGUAGGUGGCUCGGUAAGUAGAUGGUGAAAUCGUGUGGCUCAACCAUACACACAUCAUCUAAACUGCCGUAGCUUGAGUAUGGGAGAGGUAGAUGGAAUUUCUAGUGUAGGAGUGAAAUCCGUAGAUAUUAGAAGGAACACCGAUGGCGUAAGCAGUCUACUGGCCCAUUACUGACACUAAGGCACGAAAGCGUGGGGAGCGAACGGGAUUAGAUACCCCCGUAGUCC
Molecule: ribosomal RNA, 426 nt
Filed under: uncultured bacterium
Lineage: Bacteria
Description: bacterial SSU rRNA
Rfam family: Bacterial small subunit ribosomal RNA
Source: RNAcentral